CCUACGGGGGACAGCAGUGAGGAAUAUUGGUCAAUGGACGGAAGUCUGAACCAGCCAUGCCGCGUGCAGGAAGACGGCUCUAUGAGUUUUACACUGCUUUUGUACGAGGGUAAAUCCCGAUUCGUGUAUUGGGUCGCAACUAUCGUACGAAUAACGAUCGGCUAACUCCGUGCCAGCAGCCACGGUAUUACGGGGGGUUCAAGCGUUAUCCGGAUUUAUUGGGUGUAAAGGGUGCGUAGGGGGGGUGAUAAGUUAGAGGUGAAAUCCCGGGGCUCAACUCCGGCACUGCCUCUGAUACUGUCGGGCUAGAGUUUAGGAGCGGUAAGCGGAAUGUAUGGUGUAGCGGUGAAAUGCAUAGAGAUCAGGCAGAACACCGGUUGCGAAGGCAGCUUACCAGACUACGACUGACGUUGAGGCACGAAAGCGUGGGGAGCAAACAGGAUUAGAUACCCGGGUAGUC
Molecule: ribosomal RNA, 460 nt
Filed under: uncultured bacterium
Lineage: Bacteria
Description: partial 16S ribosomal RNA
Rfam family: Bacterial small subunit ribosomal RNA
Source: RNAcentral